GUGCAGGAUUUGAGAUUCUAUUCUCCCUGUACCUUGUCUGCAGCUGCAAAUAAACUUUUCUGCUUCUCCACCCCGUUGUGAUUAUUGAGUGAAACACACCGGGUAACGAACCUCUGCUGUUGUUUUGCCUCUCGGCACUGGGUGCCAGCAACAGCUUUUGGCGUCCCUGGGUGGGCGAUGAGGCUGCAAUUUAGCCUUGCCCGGAUCCCUUCCGGCGGUCGAGGAUUGCAGCAACCACCGACGCCCAGCGCGCACCGGUGAGUUCAUCGGGGGCCUCGGAGGAGACGCAGUUUGAUCGACCUCGGAGGGCACAACAGUGCAACGCACUCACAUAGUGGAGAAGCAGCUGCAGGCGAUGGUGGGGAACCGGUCCCUUGGAUAAGGUAUACUAAGGAUUCCCAGUCUCUACCCUUGGAUUCGCCCAUCCACUUCCUGCAGCCUGGUGAUUCAGUGCUCGUAUGUACCUGGAAAGACGAACCCCUCCAGGAAAAGUGGAAGGGACCCUAUACCAUCCUGCUGGUCUCCCACACGGCAGCAAAGGUCGAGGGACACAAGAAUUGGAUUCAUUAUACCUGGCUGAAAGCGGUGUCAACCCCCCCCCCCCCCGGCUGAAAGGUGGACUGUGCUUUCAGCCCCCUCCACUGAGGAUCUUGGACUAAAAUUACUAUUUAAACAGCAGCCCACUGGGAAGGCAGGAAAAUAGAUGGGAAAGUAUAUUUUAUUCCCCCUCUUGGCCAUGUGCCUAACUGGUACUGCUGUUUCAGGCACUGUACCCGUAAAUACCUGGCUGGCACUGGCCCAGAGUGCAGUGAACGCAACGUCGUUCUCAGAGAACCUUAUUCUCAGAGACUGAGGCAGCAGCUCUGGCCUUUUCCUUAGUUGGUAUUCCUGGGCUUGUGGUGCAUAAUUAUCACGCAGUAGAGCACCUUGCCUGCACGGUGGCAAAGGCCAUUAAUUUAACCUCAACCGUCCUGGCCCAACUCUCACAUGAGUUAGGGGAAGUACGUCAGGGUAUGCUACAAAACAGGCUGGCUGUGGACUAUUUGCUUCUACGCCAUGGUCACCUAUGCCAGGAGUUUGCAGGCAUGUGUUGCUUUAAUAUAACAGAUGCAGGGCCAUCCGUAGAAGCUGAUUUACAACGCCUAAAGCAGCUGGUAAAGGGCAUUCAUCAGCAAACUGGGGAGGAUUGGCUAGGCUCUCUAUUUUCUGGUUGGGGCCUUUCCCCGUGGCGAAGUGGGUUGUUUAGCCUAUUAUUUAAGUUUUUUUUCCCUGUAUUAAUCAUGUUAUGUUUACUGUGUUGUAUGUGGUCCUGUGUAAAAAUACUUAUUUUGCAUAGUUUUGAAAAUUUUAAUUUUAUGGAUAGCCCGCUAGUAAGUAAAUAAAGAUGAGAAGACUCAAGCAAUAGAAAUGAGUAUUCUCAAAGGAGGGAAUUGUUGGAGACCCCAGGGUAUGGCCAUUAGUUCAGUUGAGCGGAUGGAAGGCCAUAAGGGUCGAGGAAGUCUACCUGCUGAAGGCCUAAGGGCUUCUUCUCAACCCCCCUUAAUAGAAUUCAGGCCUGGCUGGUUUGAGUAAGCUCUUUUGCUCUUAAAACAAUGUUGCAGCCGCAGAUAAUGUCUCAUAGCGUAAGGUUUGCUGACGCCAAGUUAAAAUAGUAGGAGAUAGUUACAAGGCCAGACAGAAUGUGCUGGUUGUUUAAGUUGCUAGGAAUGCUUGUUAGAGGUUGCAGGAAAUAAACAUUGUUGUAACCCAUAUAAGGAAGGCAGAGUAUUUGUGUAAAGUUUUGAUUGGCUAAUGUGUAGUGCAAUAGCAUUAAGGAAUAUAAAAGUGUGUGUAAUGACCUGCUCUGAUGUGCAGGAUUUGAGAUUCUAUUCUCCCUGUACCUUGUUUGCAGCUGCAAAUAAACUUUUCUGCUUCUCCA
Molecule: long non-coding RNA, 1918 nt
Organism: Chelonia mydas (Green sea turtle)
Lineage: Eukaryota; Metazoa; Chordata; Testudines; Cheloniidae
Exons: 2
Source: RefSeq, a predicted model, not a curated record